AAGAAGUUAGUUAAAUAUAAUAAUGUUAGGUUGUCAAUCUUAUGUUGCUAAUAAUAUUAGUACUUCUUG
Molecule: transfer RNA, 69 nt
Filed under: Pygmaeconus traillii
Lineage: Eukaryota; Metazoa; Mollusca; Gastropoda; Neogastropoda; Conidae
Description: tRNA-Asp
Rfam family: tRNA
About the family: Transfer RNA (tRNA) molecules are approximately 80 nucleotides in length.
Source: RNAcentral